Molecule: ribosomal RNA, 404 nt
Filed under: symbiont type-X of Acyrthosiphon pisum
Lineage: Bacteria; Pseudomonadati; Pseudomonadota; Gammaproteobacteria; Enterobacterales; Enterobacteriaceae
Description: bacterial SSU rRNA
Rfam family: Bacterial small subunit ribosomal RNA
Source: RNAcentral
GAUCAUGGCUCAGAUUGAACGCUGGCGGCAGGCCUAACACAUGCAAGUCGAGCGGCAUCGGGAAGGUAGCUUGCUAUCUUUGCCGGCGAGCGGCGGACGGGUGAGUAAAGUCUGGGGAUCUGCCUGAUGGAGGGGGAUAACUACUGGAAACGGUAGCUAAUACCGCAUGAUGUUACGCGACCAAAGCGGGGGACCUCCGGGCCUCGCGCCAUCAGAUGAACCCAGAUGGGAUUAGCUAGUAGGAGAGGUAAUGGCUCCCCUAGGCGACGAUCCCUAGCUGGUCUGAGAGGAUAACCAGCCACACUGGAACUGAGAGACGGUCCAGACUCCUACGGGAGGCAGCAGUGGGGAAUAUUGCACAAUGGGCGCAAGCCUGAUGCAGCCAUGCCGCGUGUGUGAAGAAG